Molecule: ribosomal RNA, 519 nt
Filed under: uncultured bacterium
Lineage: Bacteria
Description: bacterial SSU rRNA
Rfam family: Archaeal small subunit ribosomal RNA
Source: RNAcentral
AACCUCCGCAAUGUGAGAAAUCGCGACGGGGGGAUCCCAAGUGCCAUUCUUAACGGGAUGGCUUUUCAUUAGUGUAAAGAGCUUUUGGAAUAAGGGCUGGGCAAGACCGGUGCCAGCCGCCGCGGUAACACCGGCAGCUCUAGUGGUAGCAGUUUUUAUUGGGCCUAAAGCGUCCGUAGCCGGUUUAAUAAGUCUCUGGUGAAAUCCUGUAGCUUAACUGUGGGAAUUGCUGGAGAUACUAUUAGACUUGAGACCGGGAGAGGUUAGAGGUACUCCCAGGGUAGAGGUGAAAUUCUGUAAUCCUGGGAGGACCGCCUGUUGCGAAGGCGUCUAACUGGAACGGUUCUGACGGUGAGGGACGAAAGUUAGGGGCGCGAACCGGAUUAGAUACCCGGGUAGUCCUAACCGUAAACGAUGCGGACUUGGUGUUGGGGUGGCUUUGAGCUGCUCCAGUGCCGAAGGGAAGCUGUUAAGUCCGCCGCCUGGGAAGUACGUGUCGACGAACGAGUAACGUAAACG